GCUACAUGAACUACACUGACCACUGAUUGAUUUCCAUGUGUCAUUUGAGCUUGUUUUGACCUUUUAAGUCCUAAGGGCCUGAUAUUCAGAAGUGUUCAGUGCCCCAGCUUCCACUGACUUCAGCUGGCACUGCCUUCUGACAAAUCAGGCUUUAAACAGUUUGCAUCAUAGCUCUCUUGGAAAAUGUCCUCUCUUCCUGUGUUACCAAAGUCAUUGACGUGAACAUGAGAAGUUCAAGUUAACAACCCUUUCCAAAUACAAACUGAAGGGAGGCAGUAGCAUGGAGUUCUCGGUCAGGGCAGGAUGAGAAAACUGAGAUAGAUGUAAAGUGACUUGCCCAAGGCCCAGGCAGGCAGAUGGAGAAUGAGCCAUCCUCUUGUGUCUGUGAUAAGGGCCUGGAUUGGAGAUUCUAAGAUACAUGCUGGUAUAAUUCCAAGGACUCUACAACAGCGGGGCCAGAAAUGCUGACAGCUAGACAACGUACAGUACCUUCGUCCAAUGAUGAAUCCGAACACCAUGAAGACCAGAAUGAUGGUGCCUGCC
Trachemys scripta elegans is the source of this 543-nucleotide long non-coding RNA. RefSeq lists it as uncharacterized. NCBI's taxonomy places the organism in Eukaryota, Metazoa, Chordata, Testudines, Emydidae. The record is from RefSeq and is a predicted model, not a curated record. The transcript has 4 exons.